UGCUGGUGAUGCGGAGGAAGGGCAGGAAGAGCAACACUUCGUCCACCGCUGAGGAGAGCUGGUACAAGAACGAAGGUGGCACCUGGACAGCAUCCGAUGGCUUCGUCCUCAACAACAGCAAUGCCACCGACCCAGGCGGCAGCCUACGGAGCUUCACGGC
Molecule: long non-coding RNA, 160 nt
Organism: Cygnus olor (mute swan)
Lineage: Eukaryota; Metazoa; Chordata; Aves; Anseriformes; Anatidae
Exons: 3
Source: RefSeq, a predicted model, not a curated record